Molecule: ribosomal RNA, 273 nt
Filed under: uncultured bacterium
Lineage: Bacteria
Description: partial 16S ribosomal RNA
Rfam family: Bacterial small subunit ribosomal RNA
Source: RNAcentral
AGCGAACGCUGGCGGCAGGCCUAACACAUGCAAGUCGAACGGAUCCUUCGGGAUUAGUGGCGGACGGGUGAGUAACACGUGGGAACGUGCCUUUUGGUUCGGAACAACUCAGGGAAACUUGAGCUAAUACCGGAUAAGCCUUUCGAGGGAAAGAUUUAUCGCCAUUAGAGCGGCCCGCGUAGGAUUAGCUAGUUGGUGGGGUAAAGGCCCACCAAGGCUACGAUCCUUAGCUGGUCUGAGAGGAUGAUCAGCCACAUUGGGACUGAGACACGG